UUUGGCCUACGGGGCGCAGCAGUGGGGAAUAUUGCACAAUGGGGGAAACCCUGAUGCAGCGACGCCGCGUGAGUGAAGAAGUAUUUCGGUAUGUAAAGCUCUAUCAGCAGGGAAGAAAAUGACGGUACCUGACCAAGAAGCCCCGGCUAACUACGUGCCAGCAGCCGCGGUAAUACGUAGGGGGCAAGCGUUAUCCGGAUUUACUGGGUGUAAAGGGAGCGUAGACGGCUGAGCAAGUCAGAAGUGAAAGCCCGGGGCUCAACCCCGGGACUGCUUUUGAAACUGCGGAGCUGG
Molecule: ribosomal RNA, 294 nt
Filed under: uncultured bacterium
Lineage: Bacteria
Description: partial 16S ribosomal RNA
Rfam family: Bacterial small subunit ribosomal RNA
Source: RNAcentral